UUCGGCCUACGGGGCGCAGCAGUGGGGGAUAUUGCACAAUGGGGGGAACCCUGAUGCAGCGACGCCGCGUGGGUGAAGGAGCGUUUCGGCGCGUAAAGCCCUAUCGGCAGGGAAGAAGAUGACGGUACCUGACCAAGAAGCCCCGGCUAACUACGUGCCAGCAGCCGCGGUAAUACGUAGGGGGCAAGCGUUAUCCGGAUUUACUGGGUGUAAAGGGGGCGCAGACGGCAAUGCAAGCCAGGAGUGAAAGCCCGGGGCCCAACCCCGGGACCGCUCUUGGAACUGCCUG
This 289-nucleotide ribosomal RNA is filed under the name uncultured bacterium. Its description in RNAcentral is "partial 16S ribosomal RNA". It matches the Rfam family "Bacterial small subunit ribosomal RNA", at positions 333 to 639 of the family's 1533-position model. The record is from RNAcentral.